This 2413-nucleotide ribosomal RNA is filed under the name Escherichia coli. RNAcentral describes it as "partial 23S ribosomal RNA". It matches the Rfam family "Bacterial large subunit ribosomal RNA", at positions 419 to 2817 of the family's 2925-position model. The record is from RNAcentral. Lineage: Bacteria; Pseudomonadati; Pseudomonadota; Gammaproteobacteria; Enterobacterales; Enterobacteriaceae.
GGGACACGUGGUAUCCUGUCUGAAUAUGGGGGGACCAUCCUCCAAGGCUAAAUACUCCUGACUGACCGAUAGUGAACCAGUACCGUGAGGGAAAGGCGAAAAGAACCCCGGCGAGGGGAGUGAAAAAGAACCUGAAACCGUGUACGUACAAGCAGUGGGAGCACGCUUAGGCGUGUGACUGCGUACCUUUUGUAUAAUGGGUCAGCGACUUAUAUUCUGUAGCAAGGUUAACCGAAUAGGGGAGCCGAAGGGAAACCGAGUCUUAACUGGGCGUUAAGUUGCAGGGUAUAGACCCGAAACCCGGUGAUCUAGCCAUGGGCAGGUUGAAGGUUGGGUAACACUAACUGGAGGACCGAACCGACUAAUGUUGAAAAAUUAGCGGAUGACUUGUGGCUGGGGGUGAAAGGCCAAUCAAACCGGGAGAUAGCUGGUUCUCCCCGAAAGCUAUUUAGGUAGCGCCUCGUGAAUUCAUCUCCGGGGGUAGAGCACUGUUUCGGCAAGGGGGUCAUCCCGACUUACCAACCCGAUGCAAACUGCGAAUACCGGAGAAUGUUAUCACGGGAGACACACGGCGGGUGCUAACGUCCGUCGUGAAGAGGGAAACAACCCAGACCGCCAGCUAAGGUCCCAAAGUCAUGGUUAAGUGGGAAACGAUGUGGGAAGGCCCAGACAGCCAGGAUGUUGGCUUAGAAGCAGCCAUCAUUUAAAGAAAGCGUAAUAGCUCACUGGUCGAGUCGGCCUGCGCGGAAGAUGUAACGGGGCUAAACCAUGCACCGAAGCUGCGGCAGCGACGCUUAUGCGUUGUUGGGUAGGGGAGCGUUCUGUAAGCCUGCGAAGGUGUGCUGUGAGGCAUGCUGGAGGUAUCAGAAGUGCGAAUGCUGACAUAAGUAACGAUAAAGCGGGUGAAAAGCCCGCUCGCCGGAAGACCAAGGGUUCCUGUCCAACGUUAAUCGGGGCAGGGUGAGUCGACCCCUAAGGCGAGGCCGAAAGGCGUAGUCGAUGGGAAACAGGUUAAUAUUCCUGUACUUGGUGUUACUGCGAAGGGGGGACGGAGAAGGCUAUGUUGGCCGGGCGACGGUUGUCCCGGUUUAAGCGUGUAGGCUGGUUUUCCAGGCAAAUCCGGAAAAUCAAGGCUGAGGCGUGAUGACGAGGCACUACGGUGCUGAAGCAACAAAUGCCCUGCUUCCAGGAAAAGCCUCUAAGCAUCAGGUAACAUCAAAUCGUACCCCAAACCGACACAGGUGGUCAGGUAGAGAAUACCAAGGCGCUUGAGAGAACUCGGGUGAAGGAACUAGGCAAAAUGGUGCCGUAACUUCGGGAGAAGGCACGCUGAUAUGUAGGUGAAGUCCCUCGCGGAUGGAGCUGAAAUCAGUCGAAGAUACCAGCUGGCUGCAACUGUUUAUUAAAAACACAGCACUGUGCAAACACGAAAGUGGACGUAUACGGUGUGACGCCUGCCCGGUGCCGGAAGGUUAAUUGAUGGGGUCAGCGCAAGCGAAGCUCUUGAUCGAAGCCCCGGUAAACGGCGGCCGUAACUAUAACGGUCCUAAGGUAGCGAAAUUCCUUGUCGGGUAAGUUCCGACCUGCACGAAUGGCGUAAUGAUGGCCAGGCUGUCUCCACCCGAGACUCAGUGAAAUUGAACUCGCUGUGAAGAUGCAGUGUACCCGCGGCAAGACGGAAAGACCCCGUGAACCUUUACUAUAGCUUGACACUGAACAUUGAGCCUUGAUGUGUAGGAUAGGUGGGAGGCUUUGAAGUGUGGACGCCAGUCUGCAUGGAGCCGACCUUGAAAUACCACCCUUUAAUGUUUGAUGUUCUAACGUUGACCCGUGAUCCGGGUUGCGGACAGUGUCUGGUGGGUAGUUUGACUGGGGCGGUCUCCUCCUAAAGAGUAACGGAGGAGCACGAAGGUUGGCUAAUCCUGGUCGGACAUCAGGAGGUUAGUGCAAUGGCAUAAGCCAGCUUGACUGCGAGCGUGACGGCGCGAGCAGGUGCGAAAGCAGGUCAUAGUGAUCCGGUGGUUCUGAAUGGAAGGGCCAUCGCUCAACGGAUAAAAGGUACUCCGGGGAUAACAGGCUGAUACCGCCCAAGAGUUCAUAUCGACGGCGGUGUUUGGCACCUCGAUGUCGGCUCAUCACAUCCUGGGGCUGAAGUAGGUCCCAAGGGUAUGGCUGUUCGCCAUUUAAAGUGGUACGCGAGCUGGGUUUAGAACGUCGUGAGACAGUUCGGUCCCUAUCUGCCGUGGGCGCUGGAGAACUGAGGGGGGCUGCUCCUAGUACGAGAGGACCGGAGUGGACGCAUCACUGGUGUUCGGGUUGUCAUGCCAAUGGCACUGCCCGGUAGCUAAAUGCGGAAGAGAUAAGUGCUGAAAGCAUCUAAGCACGAAACUUGCCCCGAGAUGAGUUCUCCCUG